Molecule: long non-coding RNA, 788 nt
Filed under: Ananas comosus (pineapple)
Lineage: Eukaryota; Viridiplantae; Streptophyta; Magnoliopsida; Poales; Bromeliaceae
Description: long non-coding RNA (ACOM_LNC028700)
Source: RNAcentral
ACGACUAUCAUUCCAGCUCGCUGUUCGCGAGCCGGUUCGUGUACGGAUUAAAAAUGAGCUCGAGAUUCAUCACUUGCUUGAUAAAUGAGUCGAAUUCAAGUUGAAACCUAAAUACAAAGAGAAUUAUAUUUUAUAAAUUUUAAUUAUUAGAUAAGAUUCUAAUUUUCUAAUUGUCUUCUAAUUUUUUACCAAACAUGAACUAGGCUGGACUAGGCUGGAAUACUAUCAAUAGCACGAAUAGUAGACUAAGCUGGAAUACUAUCAAUAGCACCAAACUAUUGGUGGUGCUAUUAGUUUUUUAACCAUUUAAUUGAGAAAUGUGUGGUUAGGAUGAAGUGGACCCUCUAGGGUUGCCCACUAGCAAUAAUAACAUUCAUAUUCAAUAUGAGAUUAUUCACACUUCUUGCUGGUGAACUGAUUUUGAUACCAAAUGUAACGACCCAGCCCACUGGCAACAAUAACUCGUUCGGCCUAAAUAUCGGUCAAAUGUAACGACUCAGCCUACUAGGGACAAUAACUCGUUGGGCCCAACCAACGGCCCAAAAUGCUUAAAUCUAGUUAUUAUUACUAGUGUCUAAGUCUCUUAUAUACCGAAAAUCAUAUCCUCAUUCAUAUCCGAUGUGGAAUUAUUAGGGUGUGACAGUUGAGUGAGUAGUUGGUUGAAUAGUAUAAUCUAAAGGGUAAAAAUAAUCAAAGGGUUAAAUCUAAUGAUGGAAAACUCGAUAGUACCAAAUUCUUAAUGCUAUCGAUAGUAUCCCAGCCGGACUCCUAGAAACAUUAACAUAGUU